AACAGUUGUUCCUAGUGUAAACGGGCCUUUAGAACAACAGUUGAUAGAGACAAUGAAUGCCAACUGUUAUGAAUGAGACCAUGAACGCUAGGUAAUUGUACAUAAAUUUAAGGAAAUUAUGUUAAUUUUAUUGUUUCAUAAUAUUCUUUAAUUUGAAAGGUAUUUGUGCGAUGCUCAGGUUAAAUAAUCACCAGGUCACCGAGUGGAUAGAAGUUCAAGUGCAGCAUUUUCAGGGGGAUUGCAUCAUUGCAUCAGGUAAUAUUUUUUAAUGAACUAUUUCUAUUAUAAAUGUUGUGCAGGGCUACUGAACAAUUAAGUAUGGCUUUAAGUUGGUCAACAACUGUAUUACGGUGUGCAUGUCUUUUGUGAUGAGUGUGAACUCGAUCUUUCGUGAGAGUGCGUGACGUGUUUGACAGAUGAGAGGUGCCAGAAUGCUUUGGGGUUAUUGAAAAUUACAAGAUUUAAUGCUAACGGAUAUUAUUUCCAUUAUUAAAUCAUCAGAGGCGGCAAUGGAUGUAGUACUUUUGUGCUUGAAGAAGAGCUAGAAACAUAAAAAUUACUCUGAAUAGUAGAUCUUUCCCAUUUGCGUCUAAUGCUUGACGGUCUAUUGGUAUGAGUUUACUAUCUAAUGAUGUAAUAAUAUUUAUUGAUCAUUAAAUAAUAAUGGAUUAUUCAUACAUCACUGCUGAUACAAAACUAACAUUUUAAUGGCACAACUGUGUACUCUCCAAAUAUUACACAUUUCAAUUUCGAUGUCGAUGACUCCCGUAAUUGUAUUGUUUAACGGUCGAGAAUUGCUUAGACAUAUGAUGACCGAACUUUUACAAGCACAUGCAAACAGGAUUGCUGCGCUAUCCUUCGAUUCAAGAUUGUUUUCAAAUGACGAUAGAUUUUAAAAGAAUCGAUUAUUCCCAGAGAAGAGAAGGAAUGCACAGUGAGGACGCUGACGCUAUAAUCAUUAGCGUAUUACGCAAAUUUUGUUCUGUACAUAAUGCGGUAAUAACUUGUGUAAACGGGUUAACAAAGUUUUAUUUAUUGUGUACUGCUUAAAUGUUUUCACGUGUGUGAUUUUGCGAGAAAUUUUGUUCUAACUGCAGUGAGUAUAAACUUGAACAAUAUGAACGCAGCGAAAUUUAAAUUGAAGUGAUGUUCAUUGAAUGGCAAUCAAUAAACCUACCUACCAACGAAGUAUUUCCAUAGCAGUGAUGACUUAUGCUGUCUGUGUUUCAGCAUUUUUUUUAUCAUGAACUUUAUCUAUACAUGGUGGACUAAGGCUGAUCACGGGAUUAAGAGUACUGGCCUAAUCUUUAGGUCCAAAUCUUCAUUUUCAGCUUUUGGUUUAAUAAAGAAUACGAAGUCCAUCAACACAUUUGUGGCUUGGUCAAAAGCCACACACAUUUCUUUUUCGAUAGCUUUGAUGUUAAUAAGUAUAUUAAAUAUUUAAGUUAUGUAUAGUGUGAAUUUGAUUGAUCAAAGCGGAGGAUAGCUGCAAACAAAGCAUGAAAAAAUGCAAAGCAACACUUUCUAGAAUUCUAAGCUCCUGUAUGAGACGAUCAAUGUACUUUUAAUAAUGAUGAAUUGUUGAAAAGACCCGCUUUUGUUCAUAUUUAGCUUGCUUACGCCAACGAUAUCUUAAUUAAUUUUUGUUGCUUUUGCUGCAAAUAAAUAUAAUCUAACGGAGGCUCAGACGUCAUCUGAUGGCCGGGUCGUCACGGCUUGGCUGAUGGUUCUCGAGAAAGAUUGUUGCUGUAAUGGAGAGCUUCUCUCGAAUUUAAUUUUCUACUUAUUCUAUUCAACAUCGCGGACUGUUGAUUAUCGGGAUAACAAUGACCGAUUAAUUUUUUUUCUACAUUCGAUUAUAUCUGUAUUUCGUUUUACGAAAAUAACGACUAUUGUCUAUUCGAUUUUUUUCGCUAAAGAAUGACAUUUAGUGCACCCAAAUUCCCCGUGGGGAAUUAUGAUGGAAUUGUGUUGGAAAGAGACAUGUUUUUGUUGACUUGUUUUUGGUAUUUUGUUAGUGUUAAGAAUAAUAAACUGUAUUUUUAAUGUAACUCUUAAUUGCCAACGGUGCAAACCGUCGGAUGACCUUAUAAUAUGAAUGACACUUCUUUCUUGACGUGGCCAUUAUGGCUGAAAUAAAGUUUGUAAAGCAG
This is a long non-coding RNA of Hyalella azteca, 2153 nucleotides long. RefSeq lists it as uncharacterized. The transcript is spliced from 2 exons. The record is from RefSeq and is a predicted model, not a curated record. NCBI's taxonomy places the organism in Eukaryota, Metazoa, Arthropoda, Malacostraca, Amphipoda, Hyalellidae.